GGACUAUUCCUUUGAAUGUAUUGGUAAUGUGAAGGUCAUGAGAGCAGCACUUGAGGCGUGUCACAAGGGCUGGGGCAUCAGCGUGGUGGCUAGAGUAGCCGCUUCAGGUGAAGAAACUGCCACUCGUCCAUUCCAGCUGGUAACAGGUCACACAUAGAAAGGCACUGCCUUUGGAGGAUGGAAGAAUGUAGAAAGUGUCCCAAAGUUGGUGUCUGAAUAUAUGUCCAAAAAGAUAAAAGUUGAUGAAUUUGUGACUCACAAUCUGUCUUUUGAGGAAAUCAACAAAGCCUUUGAACUGAUGCAUUCUGGAAAGAGCAUUCGAACUGUUGUAAAGAUUUAA
RNAcentral lists this long non-coding RNA (340 nucleotides) under Homo sapiens (human). RNAcentral describes it as "non-protein coding lnc-TXNDC12-2:1". Lineage: Eukaryota; Metazoa; Chordata; Mammalia; Primates; Hominidae. The record is from RNAcentral.